GAUGAACGCUGGCUACAGGCUUAACACAUGCAAGUCGAGGGGAAACGACGGGGAAGCUUGCUUCCCCGGGCGUCGACCGGCGCACGGGUGAGUAACGCGUAUCCAACCUGCCUCUGACUGAGGGAUAACCCGUCGAAAGUCGGCCUAAUACCUCAAGGCAUCGUCUGCGGGCAUCCAACGACGAUUAAAGAUUUCAUCGGUCAGGGAUGGGGAUGCGUCUGAUUAUCUUGUUGGCGGGGUAACGGCCCACCAAGGCUACGAUCACUAGGGGUUCUGAGAGGAAGGUCCCCCGCAUUGAAACUGACACACGGUCCAAACUCCUACCGGAGGCUCCAUUGAGGAAUAUUGGUCAAUGGGCGAAAGCCUGAACCAUCCUAGUAGCGUGCAGGAAGACGGCCCUAUGGUUUGUAAACUGCUUUUAAGCCGGGAUAGAGUGAGGGACGUGUACUUCGUUGCAGGUACCGCAUGAAUAGUGACCGGCUACUUCCGUGCCAGCAGCCGCGGUAAUACGGAAGGUCCGGGCGUUAUCUCACAUUUAUUGGGUUUAAAGGGAGCGUCCGCCGUGGAUUAAUGCGUGUUGUGAAAUUCAGGUGCUAUCGUCUGCAUCUACUGUUAAACUGGUAUCACUAAAGUGUUUCGCAUAGUUAUCCCAAUUCUACCAUGUAGGUGUCAUAUGCUUUAUAUGACGUUAACAACUCAUUGCGGAGGCAGCUUGCGUCCUUCAACUGAUACUUGCAUGUAUAAGUGACGGUAUCGAACAUGAUUAUGACCCUGAUCAAACUCUGCGAAUUCAACCUGGAUGUAUAUCUUAUCGAUCGAUACGACCUCCUCGAGAGGCCGCCCCGCAGCCUUUUUUCGCUUUCUUAGGGUGGAUUAAUUA
This 880-nucleotide ribosomal RNA is filed under the name Parahaemophilus parainfluenzae. RNAcentral's name for it is "Haemophilus parainfluenzae bacterial SSU rRNA". The stretch from base 1 to 529 matches the Rfam family "Bacterial small subunit ribosomal RNA", at positions 28 to 545 of the family's 1533-position model. The record is from RNAcentral. Lineage: Bacteria; Pseudomonadati; Pseudomonadota; Gammaproteobacteria; Pasteurellales; Pasteurellaceae.